Molecule: RNA transcript, 1482 nt
Organism: Quercus lobata
Lineage: Eukaryota; Viridiplantae; Streptophyta; Magnoliopsida; Fagales; Fagaceae
Gene name: very-long-chain enoyl-CoA reductase-like
Exons: 4
Source: RefSeq, a predicted model, not a curated record
CCACUAUAAGGGUCCUAGACAGUGUGAUAUACCGAACUUGAUUUAAAUUCAGUUAGCCUAGCUCUCCAACUGUAAACGGUCAACUAUCCCCCAUACCCCAUUAAAGUCUCAGCGAGCCCUUUAAAAGCUCCCACCCCAUUCUUGAAAGUAUCACCAACAAAACCAAAAUCAAAAUCAAAAUCAAAAUCGAUUACUUUUAUUGCAUUGCAAAUUGCAAUUCCCAAAUCCCAAGCAAGCAUGAAGGUCACUGUUAUCACUCGGAGCGGUAGAGAAAUCAUCAAAGGCGGCCUCGACCUCAAUCACUCUGCUACGGUGAGUGAUCUGCAGGAGGCUAUACAUCGACGAUGCAAAAAAUACUAUCCUUCAAGACAGCGUAUUACUCUACCCGUCCAACCUGGAUCCAAAGAAAGACCUGUUGUUCUGAAUCCCAAAAAAAAAUUGAAGAUUACUACGAUGGAAAAUCAGAUCACUUGACUGUAAUAUUCAAAGACCUGGGUCCACAGGUCUCCUACCGUACACUCUUCUUCUGGGAGUAUUUGGGGCCUUUGAUAAUCUAUCCAAUAUUCUACUACUUUCCAGUAUAUCAGUACUUUGGUUAUGGAGGGGAGCGUAUCAUCCACCCGGUUCAAACAUAUGCCUUGUACUACUGGUGCUUCCAUUACUUCAAACGUAUUAUGGAAACUUUUUUUGUGCAUAGGUUUAGCCAUGCAACCUCACCUCUAUCCAAUGUGUUUUGGAACUGUGCAUAUUAUUGGACUUUUGGCUCACUCAUUGCAUACUAUGUGAACCACCCAUUAUACACCCCAGUGAGCGACCUACAGAUGAAGAUUGGGUUUGGAUUUGGGUUGAUAUGUCAAAUUGCAAACUUCUAUUGCCAUCUUAUUCUGAAAAGCCUUCGCAGCCCUGAUGGAAGUGGGGGAUAUCAAAUCCCACAUGGGUUUUUGUUCAAUAUUUUGACCUGUGCAAAUUACACCACUGAGAUUUAUCAGUGGCUGGGAUUUAAUAUUGCAACACAAACUGUUGCUGGUUAUGUAUUCCUUGUGGUGGCUGCUUUUAUAAUGACUAAUUGGGCCCUCGCAAAGCACCAUCGCUUGAAGAAGCUUUUUGAUGGGAAGGAAGGAAGGCCAAAAUAUCCACGGCGAUGGGUGAUUCUGCCUCCAUUUCUGUAAAAAUUAAAGAAUACUUACCAUAAUUGGACCAGCAGGUAAUGGUGUUAUUUUAAGAAUGUUCAAGGACACAAAAUCUUUUUUGGGUAAUCAUUCCAUCCAAAGUCAUUUCCUUAGUCUGAUUUAUUUAUUAGACAAUUGAAAAAUGUAAGUUGAGCCAUAGGAAUGAUUAACUAUGGCUGGACCUCUUUUUUAUAAAAAUUGUGAUGAGGUCUUAAUGUUCAAUUUUGUUGUUUUGGAGGAUUCUUUCUGUAUUGUUGAGAAUGUACUGGUGCUACUUAUAUUUGACCAUCCAUAUGCACAUUCUCACUUCUAA